UUACGGCCAUAUCACGUUGAAAUACCGAUUCCCGUACGAUCACCAAAGUUAAGAAACGUCGAGCUUGGCCAGUACCUUGAUGGGUGACUGCUUAGGAAUACCAGUGGCUGU
Acanthosepion pharaonis is the source of this 111-nucleotide non-coding RNA. NCBI's taxonomy places the organism in Eukaryota, Metazoa, Mollusca, Cephalopoda, Sepiida, Sepiidae. The record is from the annotation of a GenBank genome assembly.